CCUGUGGAGUGCUAAACCAACCGUAGUAGCGUGAGAUUGGCGAGGCGGGGUACGAAGAAGCAGGAA
Sporosarcina sp. HYO08 is the source of this 66-nucleotide non-coding RNA. NCBI's taxonomy places the organism in Bacteria, Bacillati, Bacillota, Bacilli, Caryophanales, Caryophanaceae. The record is from Rfam.